Non-coding RNA from Microtus oregoni (creeping vole), 453 nucleotides. The record is from the annotation of a RefSeq genome assembly. NCBI's taxonomy places the organism in Eukaryota, Metazoa, Chordata, Mammalia, Rodentia, Cricetidae.
CCCAAAUCCUCCCAGUCAGGAUUCACCACUGAACACAGGACAGUCACCAUGGACUUAGGGCUCAUAUUGGUUUUCUCUGUCCUGACUUUAAAAGGUGUUCAUUGUGAGGUGCAAUUGCUGGAAUCUGGGGGAGGCUCAGUGCAGCCUGGAAAGACCCUGAAACUCUCCUGUGCAGCCUCUGGAUUCACCUUCAGUAGUUAUGCAAUGAGCUGGGUCCGCCAGGCUCCAGAGAAGGGGUUGGAGUGGGUCGCAACCAUUGAUAGUGUUGGUAGCACCUGGUAUACUGACGCUGUGAAGGGCCGGUUCACAAUCUCCAGAGACAAUGCCAAGAACAUUCUGUACCUGGAAAUGAGCAGUCUAAGGUCUGAGGACACAGCCAUGUAUUACUGUGCAAGAUCAUAUAAUUCCGCCUUCUGGACAGAAGUAUACGGACUUUGUUCCACCUUAUCCAAG